CUCUAUGUCGGUCUGCGGCCCCGUCUCUAUGUCGGUCUGCGGCCCCGUCUCUGUCGGUCUACGGCCCCGUCUCUGUCGGUCUACAGGCCCAGAGAGACUGGCAGACAAGGCAGCAUUCCUUUUAUAUGGAAUGAAGUACCCGGUUGGGUAUCAGGACUGUAAAUCCAGUAACUUUCCCAAAUUCCCCCAAAAUUAAACUGUCGUCAAAAUGUAAGCAUAUGCAGAGGUAGGCAUAUUCUUUGACACUUUUACAAUAUAUAUAUAUUUUUUUUAUCAUGCUUUUAAAAUAUAAUAUUUAAGCUGUUAUGCUCUUUUAAAAUAUAGACAGUGUGGUUAGAGAGAAGAGAGGUACUGCUGGAAGAGUGGAGGCCACCAGAUCUGUGGUCCGGGGGUGCAUUUAGACCACUGGACCAGUGUAGGCAAUGAAUUCUGCAUUUUGAAAAGGCCUUCCCAAUUGCAUUAUGCAUUGACAUCUUAUUUUCCACUCUCAAUUAAGUCUGAAUGUGGAUAUCAUCUUAUGAAAGAAAUUCCAUGCACCACAGUUGCUACAAACACUAAUAAUGUGUAUAUAUACACGUGCUAACUAUACAGUCAGUGGGGAGAUGUGGAAAGCUUACUCAUUGAUAGGUUUUUGUAUUGUUUUAAACGAUGGUGUCAGUAAAACCUCUAACGGUUUGUAUGAAAAAACGGAGUUAAAGCCAACAUUCAAUAUAGUCUUGCUCAUAACAACGCAAUUGGUUUUACGGCAGCGAAACCAAGACCAGUGAUUUUAGAAGACGGAAAAACAAAUGCGAGGUAAUCUCAUUAAAACCGCUUACGAAGUCCAAACUUUAGGAUGAGUCUAACUUUUUUAUAGGCUGCCUUAAUUGCAGUUUUAAUUUCACCAACAAAUAGUCUAGAGGAAAUACUGAUUUUCAGUGUUAGCAAUUCUAUGGCACGAUAAUGGAGCAGCGCUUCACAUAUAUGAAUGUAAACUGUUGACAUUUUCCUGGCCGGUCUGUCUCGCCGAACUGCCCGUGACGACAAACAAUAGGCAGAGAUCUGUGCAUGCUCUCAGCCGGUCCAUUUCUCAGACUAAUCUGUGUGGGCAGCUCGCAUGUGAAACAUAAACAUCACCAACAAAGAACGUUAAUCGGUUUUUAAAUCUAUUCAAUAGACUUAAAAGCAUUACUAUAAUAGCAUUAUUAUAAUAUUUUUAUCGCUGACUCUCAGCAGUACUGGGCCAUUGACAUGGAUGACAUGGCCUUGUAAAGUCUUCCCAGGUCCGUCGGUGGCUCUGAAUGUUGAGCCCCACGUAGCUAGUAGCUAGCUACUUUUCCAAACCAGGCUAGCAGGAAGAUUUGUCCAAGUAGCCUGUCAGAUAUUUUCUCUUUUCAAAUAAUGCAUAGCACACAUACAAGUCCAGCCGGCAAACCCGAAAUUCCAAACAUUCCCUCUCUGAUUAUAAACAAUACACCAGGUCACUGCUGAGUGGAAUUAAGUUUAUAUUCUUGCAUGUACACAGAGUUAUGUGGAAUAGAAGCAUGUCGGUCUAAUUCCAUCUGCUAAAGAUAAGUGAUCAGCAUAAUGCAACCAACAAAUCAGCUUAGGAAACACUCAACGUUUAAAAACGGCUUUACAUUGUUUGUUCAAUAAGAGCACAUUCCUAUUGAAUAUUCAAUACCUGCAUUAACUUAAUCCAAAUGCUACUUUAAAAAACCUGGCAAACUGCAUGCCUCAACUAAAACGGCCCACAAUCAAUGUAAAAGCAUCCCGGUGCAAAAUUAGCAUCUCUGCUAGUAAAAAGGCCUUCACCGAAGACGCCUAAGUGCAAAGCGAACCCGACAUCUAAGUGUUUGCCUGCAGCCGCCGUUAAUUAGAAAUACUUGAGGCAACAUUGCAGGUUGAUAAGAGGCUGAUUACUUAAGGAAUCAAAUAUUAACACCGGCCUGGUCUCCUUUGCCACGCCGACACAGUAACAUCAACAGCUGAUGGGAUUUGGAGUAAUGGCCCCUCACGUCAGCCCCAAAGAUGUCUAUCCUCAUGGCAUAGAAAAUGCUUCACUUGAAAUAUCUAUUCGCUGCACGUUGGUUAUCAAGAGAAUGUGGGAGGUUUUUGUGUGAACACAUUUAAUGUGAUACAAACGCUGGAGUACUUUUUUGGUAAUGUAUGUAGGGUUCUUCCAUACCUGCUGGGGAACCCAAGCAAAUGUUGAUGUUGCUCAUGGUUGGAGCUAGCCUCGUAGACAGACACGGGCACAGACACGGGCACAGACAGACGCAGACACACACAGAGACACAGACACACAAUCUAAAUGUCAGUGCUGUGCUGAUUUGAUUUCCCUAUUCCGUUUAUACUGCUGCCUGGCUAGUGGCUGCAGUGUAAUGAAGAGGCAUGUGGAAAGCACACUGAUGUCACACAGUGAAAGAGUGUUAGAGAGAGAGACACGUGUCGAGGAAACACGUUCCGGCAUCGCAGUGCUUCAAGGAAGUGAUUCCAGGAAGUACAUAUUUUCUUUUACACAUCCCCCUGCAUACUGAUCCAAUCAUGUCAGGGUGGUUAAUUGCGCUGUAGUAAUUAGCGAUGCAUUAAAAUCCCUAAUAAUCUAAUAACUAAUGAUAUUCUUCCUUUUAGGAACCCCAGAGGCCUACCUCACACUCUGUGUGUGUGUGUGUGUGUGUGUGUGUGCGCAAGCAAUUUUAAUUCCUCCACCCCUUCUCACCCUUAUUAAGCUUCUGAAUUACUCUGAACUCUUCUGCUGCUCCAUGUCUAAAUUUGUUGUAAUUAACAUGCUGCUAAAAUACAAGCACACAGCACAGGCACUUUAAAUAUGCUCCACCAGCAAUUAGAAGAUAUUAAAAAAUACCUUGAUUAGGAAGAAAUAAUCACUUUUGUCUUUCUUCCUCAGUUUCCUAAUACUGCGGACUGGUGUCCAGGCGGCUGAGUUGAUCUGUGGUGUUGGCAGGUUCACAGGGGGCUUUUAAGCAAGCAAGCCUAUUUGUUUUAAGUGCUCCAGCUACCCCAAAGGUGACCCAUCCAACAUGACAAAAACACUCCCCUCCGCCACGGCCCUCGGCAGAUAACGACACCAGGAAAUCAAAUAAUGAGCCUCACACGGUUUUACCGCCACACAGAGAAAUAGUUGUUUUUACAUUUGAAAAAGGCCAAAUACUAAAAACAAAGCCUGUCGUCAUCAAUCUGGUUCUCCGCUAGCUAAUCUCCCACCUCGGAUUUUUAAUCCUGCGUCGAGCUAAUCAAGAAAGUGGGUGGAAGCAGGAAUGAACGACGAGGAUUUACUGUCGGUCUCCUGACCUGCCUGCCGUUUAAACAGCUCAGCCUGGGGCCGUGUCCCCAACGGCUCCCUGUCCCAUACAAAUAGUGCCCUCGUCACAUCCUAGCGUCACACAGGAUCCGAAGCAGCACCUUCUGAAGGGAGCAGGGUGUGAUUUGGGAGCGAGGAGGAGGUGGUGUCUGCAGGGUUGGCUGAGUGAUGAAGAAGGGCCUUACGCCGUGGGCUGGGUGUCGGUGCCGCUCGCCGUAUCUCCCCUCGCCACAUUUCAAGCCCGCCGCUGCCUCAUCACUGCACUGCCCCCUGACAGCCGGUGCAUCCCAAAUGACCCACUACUCCCUCUGUAGUGUGCUACAUUUGACCAGGCUUACCAGUAAGGCGGUGCUCCAUGUUGGUAAUGGGGUGCAGUUUGGGACCGAAGGCUGACAGUCAGCCAACAGCCAUCUGGGUAUUCCACAAUACCCAGAAAUCCCUCUUAAAUACAGGAUAGACUUGAUGAUGUAGAAUACAGUAGACACAGACUUGCACCAAUCAGCCCAAAUACAUAAGUGAGCGAAUGGAUCCCGUUCUGUUGUAAUUUUAUUUGUUUCACUCAAACAGAUCAGAAGGAGUGAGCCCUAGGAUCGGUCAGAGUGCCACAGAUGCUGAUUUUUAACUGCUUCAGGUAUGACAAGUGUCUUUUCUAAGAGAAGUGAAAGUAGUUGAGCAGAUUUUCUCCUGAGGGGGGUGUCUGUCUUUAACUGAAUGCUGUCUUUAACUGUCCUGGUGUCCUGUUUGACUUUAGGAGGACAUGAGCUCUUGGAUCAGGCCUCUAUAGUACCUGGCCCAAAUGACUCUCAGAAAUCCCUGCUGCUAAGUGCUUGUGGAUGUGUUGGGUAACAGGUUGCUGCACCACCUGUUCUUGUUCACCUGGUUUGGGUUUGGAUUCUGUUGGAGUCAGCUGAAAGGCCACCUGCCUUUGAGGUGUCUGUGUUCUGAUGAUUGCAAAACGUUGAUUUGGCUCAAAAAGUUAUUUUGUGUUGUCUUCAUCCAGCACAGCUAGAAAAGUGGCCACCCUACAGAGUCUGGUUCCUGUCUGUUUUUGCAAAUUUUGGUCCCUAUGAGGGAGUUUUUCCUAGCCACAGUGCAUUAACUGGUGUCACUUGCUCUUUUCAGGCUCACUGGAAGGCUGAAUGUUUGUCGUUUAAUUCGGCUUGCGGUGCCCUGAGGCUGCGGUGCCCUGAGGCUGCGGUGCCCUGAGGCUGAGGUGCCCUGAGGCUGAGGUGCCCUGAGGCUGAGUGAGAUUUUUGACAAACACAAUUUGCAGUGUGUCACGGCAAGACCUAUUACUGUAGCUUUACACAGUAUGGACGUGUUUUGUUCCACAGUUACAACAUGAGUAAUAACAAGGUUGCAGGUUUGAGAUGGUUGUUUAUGCCUGUGGAAAAAUAACUGGUUCGGUGUAGCCAUCUUUCUGAAAAGGUUGGGUUCAGAAUAAAGUUGGAAUUUUGUGUUGUAUUGCUGUUAUGUAUGGGCCAUUGAGGCUAUCGAAUCCUGUCAUGUUUAGAUUGUCAGGAGGGCUUUGAUGCAUUAAUCAGUCAAUUUAUAUGUCGUGAUAUUGCUUCUGUGUCCUUCCUAUGAAGUUAUUUCCACACUUUUCAAUGCCGUUGUCCAUUGAGAAAUCACUGGAGUAUAAUGUAGGUCUGUCAAGGAAGAUGUGUACUUUUGAAUUGCAGGGCAUGUGAGGAAAUAAAGUGUGAUGUGUUUGGAAGUCCCAAUGCAAAAGCAUCAUCAGCAGUCUUAUGACUGUCUAAGGGAUAAGUAAGUAAUGAGAACUGAGUGGGGGACACGUCAACAAAGAAUGUUGUUCUGUCUCUCAUCUGUCCUUUAAUGUGUUAGUGAGUAUUAGUAGGUGUUUAAAUGGGACUGUAAUGAUAGAACUUAUUAAUUUCUUCCUAAUGAGUGUGGUUGGGGGCUUGUAGUCUUGCUGUGGGUGGCUAUUUAGGUGUUAAAGAGACUCUGCACUAGUUACUUGCGGUAGGUGUCGGUGGACGGUUGUUAGAGUCUCUGACUGUGGUGUGGAAGGUUGUUGGUUCAAAUCAAAGUGGUUCUUGUGGGCUAUGUGUCGCUGGGGAUGAAGUCACGCAAUGACUUGGUGUGUUUGUGAGGUUGUGUGGAUGGUGGUGAGGUUGUAUGGGUGGUGGAUGGUGGUGAGGUUGUAUGAGUGGUGGAUGGUGGUGAGGUUGUAUGGAUGGUGGAUGGUGGUGAGGUUGUAUGGAUGGUGGAUGGUGGUGAGGUUGUAUGAGUGGUGGAUGGUGGUGAGGUUGUAUGGAUGGUGGUGAGGUUGUAUGGAUGGUGGAUGGUGGUGAGGUUGUAUGGAUGGUGGAUGGUGGUGAGGUUGUAUGGAUGGUGGUGAGGUUGUAUGGGUGGUGGAUGGUGGUGAGGUUGUAUGGAUGGUGGUGAGGUUGUAUGGGUGGUGGAUGGUGGUGAGGUUGUAUGGAUGGUGGAUGGUGGUGAGGUUGUAUGGAUGGUGGUGAGGUUGUAUGGAUGGUGGAUGUUGGUGAGGUUGUAUGGAUGGUGGUGAGGUUGUAUGGAUGGUGGUGAGGUUGUAUGGAUGGUGGAUGGUGGUGAGGUUGUAUGGGUGGUGGAUGGUGGUGAGGUUGUAUGGGUGGUGGAUGGUGGUGAGGUUGUAUGGAUGGUGGUGAGGUUGUAUGGGUGGUGGAUGGUGGUGAGGUUGUAUGGGUGGUGGAUGGUGGUGAGGUUGUAUGGGUGGUGGAUGGUGGUGAGGUUGUAUGGGUGGUGGAUGGUGGUGAGGUUGUAUGGAUGGUGGUGAGGUUGUAUGGAUGGUGGUGAGGUUGUAUGGGUGGUGGUGAGGUAUGGGUGGUGGAUGGUGGUGAGGUUGUAUGGGUGGUGGUGAGGUAUGGGUGGUGGAUGGUGGUGAGGUUGUAUGGGUGGUGGAUGGUGGUGAGGUUGUAUGGGUGGUGGUGAGGUUGUAUGAGUGGUGGAUGGUGGUGAGGUUGUAUGGGUGGUGGAUGGUGGUGAGGUUGUAUGGGUGGUGGAUGGUGGUGAGGUUGUAUGGAUGGUGGAUGGUGGUGAGGUUGUAUGGGUGGUGGAUGGUGGUGAGGUUGUAUGGAUGGUGAGGUUGUAUGGGUGGUGGAUGGUGGUGAGGUUGUAUGGGUGGUGGUGAGGUUGUAUGGAUGGUGGUGAGGUUGUAUGGGUGGUGGAUGGUGGUGAGGUUGUAUGGAUGGUGGAUGGUGGUGAGGUUGUAUGGAUGGUGGUGAGGUUGUAUGGAUGGUGGUGAGGUUGUAUGGAUGGUGGUGAGGUUGUAUGGAUGGUGGUGAGGUUGUAUGGAUGGUGGUGAGGUUGUAUGGGUGGUGGAUGGUGGUGAGGUUGUAUGGAUGGUGGAUGGUGGUGAGGUUGUAUGGAUGGUGGAUGGUGGUGAGGUUGUAUGGAUGGUGGUGAGGUUGUAUGGAUGGUGGAUGGUGGUGAGGUUGUAUGGAUGGUGGUGAGGUUGUAUGGGUGGUGGAUGGUGGUGAGGUUGUAUGGAUGGUGGUGAGGUUGUAUGGAUGGUGGAUGGUGGUGAGGUUGUAUUGGUGGUGGAUGGUGGUGAGGUUGUAUGGAUGGUGGUGAGGUUGUAUGGAUGGUGGAUGGUGGUGAGGUUGUAUUGGUGGUGGAUGGUGGUGAGGUUGUAUGGAUGGUGGUGAGGUUGUAUGGGUGGUGGAUGGUGGUGAGGUUGUAUGGGUGGUGGAUGGUGGUGAGGUUGUAUGGAUGGUGGUGAGGUUGUGUGGAUGGUGGUGAGGUUGUAUGGGUGGUGGAUGGUGGUGAGGUUGUAUGGAUGGUGGUGAGGUUGUAUGGAUGGUGGUGAGGUUGUAUGGAUGGUGGUGAGGUUGUAUGGAUGGUGGUGAGGUUGUAUGGAUGGUGGUGAGGUUGUAUGGGUGGUGGAUGGUGGUGAGGUUGUAUGGGUGGUGG
Molecule: long non-coding RNA, 7216 nt
Organism: Esox lucius (northern pike)
Lineage: Eukaryota; Metazoa; Chordata; Actinopteri; Esociformes; Esocidae
Source: Ensembl